Molecule: non-coding RNA, 112 nt
Filed under: Mucilaginibacter paludis
Lineage: Bacteria; Pseudomonadati; Bacteroidota; Sphingobacteriia; Sphingobacteriales; Sphingobacteriaceae
Also listed under: 1 other name
Description: SAM-I sequence
Rfam family: SAM riboswitch aptamer (S box leader)
About the family: The SAM riboswitch is found upstream of a number of genes which code for proteins involved in methionine or cysteine biosynthesis in Gram-positive bacteria. The SAM riboswitch acts at the level of transcription termination control.
Source: RNAcentral
GAUUUAUAAAGAAGUGGCGAGAGAUCAGGCUCAUUAACCCACUGGCAACCCUCCGGAACGGAGAAGGUGCCAAAUCCUGGCCCGGUGAAUGGAUCAUCGGGGAAUAUAAAUG